GAUGAACGCUGGCGGCGUGCCUAAUACAUGCAAGUCGAACGGAAAGGCCUCUUCGGAGGUACUCGAGUGGCGGACGGCUGAGUAACGCGUAGGAAUGUACCCCAAAGUGAGGAAUAACCUCGAGAAAUCGAGGCUAAUACCGCAUGUGCUCUAAGGAGUAAAGCUUCGGCGCUUUGGGAACAGCCUGCGUAAGAUUAGCUUGUGGGUGAGGUAAUGGCUCACCAAGGCGACGAUCUUUAGCUGGUCUGAGAGGAUGAUCAGCCAGACUGGGACUGAGACACGGCCCAGACUCCUACGGGAGGCAGCAGUAGGGAAUUUUCCACAAUGGACGAAAGUCUGAUGGAGCAACGCCGCGUGCAGGAUGAAUGCCUUUGGGUUGUAAACUGCUUUUAUGAUUGAAGAUAAUGACGGUAAAUCAUGAAUAAGGAUCGGCUAACUCCGUGCCAGCCGCCGCCGUAA
Molecule: ribosomal RNA, 459 nt
Filed under: uncultured bacterium
Lineage: Bacteria
Description: partial 16S ribosomal RNA
Rfam family: Bacterial small subunit ribosomal RNA
Source: RNAcentral